UCCCUGGUGGCUCAGAUGGUAAAGCGUCUGCCUGCAAUGCAGGAAACCUGGGUUCAAUUCCUAGGUUGGGAA
This 72-nucleotide transfer RNA is filed under the name Bos taurus (domestic cattle). It matches the Rfam family "tRNA". From Rfam's summary of the family: Transfer RNA (tRNA) molecules are approximately 80 nucleotides in length. Their secondary structure includes four short double-helical elements and three loops (D, anti-codon, and T loops). RNAcentral also lists the same sequence under 2 other names. Lineage: Eukaryota; Metazoa; Chordata; Mammalia; Artiodactyla; Bovidae. The record is from Rfam by way of RNAcentral.